This is a long non-coding RNA of Micropterus dolomieu (smallmouth bass), 429 nucleotides long. RefSeq lists it as uncharacterized. The record is from RefSeq and is a predicted model, not a curated record. The transcript is spliced from 3 exons. NCBI's taxonomy places the organism in Eukaryota, Metazoa, Chordata, Actinopteri, Centrarchiformes, Centrarchidae.
UCCUGAUCUGGUCUACAGCUGCACCGUCAGCACUGGCAGGAACAGGAGGAGAGCCACUUUGAGGCAACUCUCUUCUAUCAGUGUUUCCAGCACUGACACAACAAUCCCCUGCAUUUCCUCAAACACUUCCCUUCUUAACUUCAGCCUCGUCUGGAGAUUCAACCACUUUCAUAUCAUCCUGAACCGGACCAGCGCUAACGUACUCUACACCGUCUCAGAGGAGUGGAGGCAGCAUGUGAAGGGUGUGUCUGAGUCAGGCAGCCUCACGCUACAGGACUUAACUUUGAAACAGGAGGGGAUAUACACCUGUGAACUCAGUAAUGCUGAGGAAACAGACAUAACCAACAUCAUUCUGAUAGGGAGUCAAACGUAUUUCACAGGCGUUAUUGUAGGUCUGGCGGUUGGAGCCCUUUUGGUUGUAUUCCUAGC